AGCAGCCGCGGUAAUUCCAGCUCCAAUAGCGUAUAUUAAAGUUGUUGCAGUUAAAAAGCUCGUAGUUGAAUUUCGGGAUUAGUACGUUGGUCGUGCCUUCGGUACGUACUGGUGUUACUGAUUCCUACCUUCUGACGAACCAUCAUGUCAUUAAUUUGGUGUGGUGGGGAAUCAGGACUGUUACUUUGAAAAAUUAGAGUGUUUAAAGCAGGCUCGCGCUUGAAUACAUUAGCAUGGAAUAAUGAAAUAGGACGUUGACCCUAUUUUGUUGGUUUCUAGGAUUGACGUAAUGAUUAAUAGGGAUAGUUGGGGGCAUUAGUAUUCAAUUGUCAGAGGUGAAAUUCUUGGAUUUAUUGAAGACUAACUACUGCGAAAGCAUUUGCCAAGGAUGUUUUCAUUAAUCAAGAACGAAAGUUAGGGGAUCGAAGACGAUCAGAUACCGUCGUAGUCUUAACCAUAAACUAUGCCGACUAGGGAUCGGAUGAUGUUAUUUUUAAUGACUCAUUCGGCGCCUUACGGG
RNAcentral lists this ribosomal RNA (520 nucleotides) under uncultured Glomus. RNAcentral describes it as "SSU rRNA". It matches the Rfam family "Eukaryotic small subunit ribosomal RNA", at positions 569 to 1094 of the family's 1831-position model. The record is from RNAcentral. Lineage: Eukaryota; Fungi; Glomeromycota; Glomeromycetes; Glomerales; Glomeraceae.